GGUGGCUCAGUGGUAGAGCGCAUGCCUUGCAUGAGGCCCUGGGUUCAAUUCCUCAGCACCA
Molecule: transfer RNA, 61 nt
Filed under: Dipodomys ordii (Ord's kangaroo rat)
Lineage: Eukaryota; Metazoa; Chordata; Mammalia; Rodentia; Heteromyidae
Rfam family: tRNA
About the family: Transfer RNA (tRNA) molecules are approximately 80 nucleotides in length. Their secondary structure includes four short double-helical elements and three loops (D, anti-codon, and T loops).
Source: Rfam by way of RNAcentral